UGAAUUUCAGGCGGUUUGACCAGACACUUAGGAAGGUCUCGCUUGAAGCUGAGGAAAAUCUCAUCUUGCUUUAUCUUGAAAGCUGAACUCCUGAGCUCCUUCGGCAUCAACAUUUCAGUGCUGUCCUCCCGAAGGUGAAAUCCAGUCUGUGCUGCUGGAAAGCUACAUAAACUGUAUUUCUCAAAAGCCCAGUUUUGUAUCCUCUGUUAAGGUUCUACCAACCUUCAUUGUAUUUCAUUUUUGAACAAUUGAGUGAUAUAAUUCAGCUCUAUUUAAUUUUAACCAUCUCUUUCAGGUUUUCACGACCGUUCCUUUACCCUGUUGCUGCAGCAAACGCAGAUCCAAAUGCCGUGGCUACGAAGGCUUGUUACUUUCUCAUGCUGGAUCCCUCAAAUCCAAGAGCUACUUGGCAGUUUCCAAGGCAACCACCUGUGGAAUAAUUAAAAGGAUGAAGUGCUAGUGUGCCAGAUAUAAGGAUUUCUUGCCUGGAGUGAGCGCUUCAUUUUCAUCUGUCUCGAAGAACCAAAUGUGUGUCUGCCAGCAAAGUUAAGAAGAAGAGAUGGUGACUGAGCUGUACAAGCAAACCGGGACAACCCAAAAAGUGACUCAAAGCAGGAGCCAGCAGAUGGUCGCGUCGUUAGCCGGUGGCCACAGCCUCGCCAGAGGAGUUUUGGAAUUCCCAUCAAAGUCGGGAUUAAGCUCAGGAUAUGCCAGUGGCACAGAGGGAGCCCUGGGGGAGCGUGGAAGAAGAGGAAAUCAUUCCCUGCGACUCAUCUUGCGGUUGGGUGCUGAUCUCCUGAGAGCGCCGCGCGUGUGCCAAAGGAAGAACACGUUGUUUGAGGGAAAACCUAUUUAUAAACACGUGCAAACUGAAAGGUAAAUCAUUUCUGUAAAUUGAUUGAUGAAAUAUGCUCUCUGCAUUGGUUAUGUGUCCCGAUGUAGUGUAAAUACACCUGACAUCUAUUACGUUUGUCGCUGUGCAGCACCACUAGGUAGGCAGUGGGUAUCUUUUAAAAAUUCCAUUUCUAAUUCUCUGCUUCUUCACCAUAACAAAGAAAGGUUCAAAGGUGGCGUGUUUUUCUCUGAAAAUAUUUUUGGCUUGGGUUUGGAGGUUUUUUUGCAGCGAUAUACGUGAUGGGGAGGAGUAAAGAAUAUUUGCCUUCAGCUAAAAGAGCCUCUGCAGUCUGUUUGUCAGGCGUGGGAAUUCAGUGGGGAUUAAAAACAAUCACACGUGGAGCUGAUUGAAUUUCCUAUCCCUCUUAAUUGCUACCUUUUUUUUUUUUUUUCCUAUGUGAUGAUUUUAAUUUCACUUCCUCCG
RNAcentral lists this long non-coding RNA (1318 nucleotides) under Calidris pygmaea (Spoon-billed sandpiper). RNAcentral's name for it is "lncRNA (ENSCPGG00000016810.1)". Lineage: Eukaryota; Metazoa; Chordata; Aves; Charadriiformes; Scolopacidae. The record is from RNAcentral.